This 13586-nucleotide long non-coding RNA is filed under the name Podarcis lilfordi (Lilford's wall lizard). Lineage: Eukaryota; Metazoa; Chordata; Lepidosauria; Squamata; Lacertidae. The record is from RNAcentral.
CCCCCUUAUAGUAAAGAAAACUGUAACAAAAUAAGAUAAUGAGAGAAACUAAAUACAACAACAUGAGGCAAGUCUGAGGCAAAAAACAAGAAGAGGCAUUUGGUUUCUGUGGCGUUUGUACGGAGCCCCUGAUCGUCUCACGGACUAUUGACCCGUACACCACUAAUCCGCUGCCACCAACCAGGUCCUCCCCGGUAAAUCACUUAGUCUCACUCAGGGGUUCUUAAUUUAACAAAGAAGAGUGUAGUUUAUUGCAGACACAAAUAAACUUUAACUGCAUUCAAAACGUUGUUACUCUUUACCUUCUUAGUCUUAUUUUAUCCUGUCUCUAACUCUUCUACCUCCCCUCACACAAGAACCAACUGCACUAACUGUCUCUCUAAUCCCAAUUGUCUGCCAACUGCUUUUCCAACUGCCUUUCCCAACCAACCAAUCCACUAAAACCAACCAACUACCCACCUCCCAAACCUCGGGCUAAGCCCUUUUAUAAACAGGUAGGCUCCGCCUCCGGCUUUCUUAUUGGUCUACAUAUUAACCCUUUCUCUCCCCCUGUACAGACAUUUUCAAACAAACAGGCAAACGCCACAUGCUCGCUUAACUGAGUGUUUUUAUUACACAACCUUCUUCUAAAUGGUCCCUCUUUCAGCAUUCUACAGAUAGGAUGUCCUUCCAUUUGUGUUCCAUCCCAUUAUGAUCUCUUUAGGUCAUGCUUAUGUCAUACAAGUUCCAAAUUAAUAAUUCUCAAACAGACACCAAAACUCACUAGGUGUGUUGAUGAAAUGCCAGACUGCAACAAUGAACAAACUCAAUGAAAAGGGAGAGGCGUUGCAAGACCUGGCUUCUGCCAUCAACAGGGCCAUAUUUGGGGAAGUGAGGCACAGGCAAUGAACAAGAAACCACACUGCUUGUUAUUUAGACAAGGAAGCAGGCCUGUCCCAGAAGCUAGGCUUUACCUAAUGACCUGGUUCGGCCUAUUGUCAAAGAGGUUUCAUCGCUGGUCUGGCUGUUCCAAUAUAUUUCCCUUCCUUGGCCAAUGAAUGAUGCUGGCUAAAUCCCUGCCAAAUAUCCCUCAGGCUCAAAUUUAGGAGCCAAUGCACUGUGGGCCAGAAUUCUGAUGGGCUUCUGGACAGAUUGCCCUUCAGUCAUGCCUAAUGUCAUCCAGAACAAUCCGACGCUAUCCGCGGGCUCAAUCUUGGCAGUCUGCAGGCAUCAGUGAUGCCAGCUCACCCACCUUGGCACAAAUGCCCAGCACUACUGAUUGGUUGUACAUUACACACACACAUCCAAAAUGGACUGGCAGUAACCAGGACUAGCUAAAAUGCCCCCUUAGGACAGAAUUAUAGCUAUCUGGAAGUGCAGUCCCCAGAUGAUUCUUUCUCUUUCACAAGGUAAAUGUCACACAAAAAGGCCUUUAAAAAAAGAAAGAGAAAGGAAAAAAAGGAGACUAUGCCCUGGAGAUUUAUGAACAAUGCAGAAGACCCAAUACGCAUUGUAUGCUCUCAUAUUGAAGAUAAGACAGAAGGUGGGCAUUGUGGAAGUUGCAGAGCUUUGGAGUGAGUGCAGGAACACACACUCAUCCAUGCAUGUUCUUGCUGAUCACACUUCAAAGAACCUAACAAUAAUGUCUGUGGAAGCGAGAGGGAUUAUCCUUCAUACUUGAAAGUGACACAUCUGGCUCGCUAGAAAAUGGGAAGGGGGGGGGAUGAAUUGACAGAAAUGAAAGGUAAAGAUCUGAGUCUAAAUACACAAUGCAUCAGCCUGCAGCUUUUCUUGAAAGAAGACCCUCGGUAAGACAUGAAAGGCACAGAGGAAAGAAGCUCUUUAUUAGAAUGAAAGGCAGUGUAUAUAUACGUUUUAAUGAAAUUCAAUUCUCUCUCUAAUUGGGUCACAUCAGUAAAAAAAAAAAAAAAAUGCAUGCAAAUUUAUAGGCUCACAUUGAGUUUGGCAGUAAUGAAUGCCCAGUAAAUUGUUAGUCUAAAGCAAUGAGUUUGGUAUUUUUUCCUUUCUUAAUCCUGUCAUUACACAACAUUACAGAUGCCUUGCUGAGGGCUUGGAGACAUCAUACACAUUCAUACACACAAAAAUAGGUUGCGAAACUGAAUAUAUUUGAGCUACUCUAGAUGAGGAGGAUGAAUGGGGGUUUGAGGAAACAGACUAACAAGAAAACAGGAAACAGGAUUAAUGGUUGAGGAAUUAAAGCUUGCAAGAUUACUGUUUUUAAAGCAUGGGCUGAGGGGCAUGGCUGGCUGGUUUCAUCUCACUGUAUCAAGAUGAAAACAUGAUUCUAAAGUACAUACAGGGGAAGUUGCUCAAAAUUAUUUUAAAAUAGCAAUUGUAUUCCAGGUAGUCACACAUACAUAAGAGAAACUUCAACUGUAUAGCCCUGGUUCAAAUAUAUAAGGAAGAGGAAGCAUUCCAAGAUAAUAUACUCAUAUAUUUUUCUUUUUAAAAAAAAUUUAAAAAAUGAAAUCCUGUGUUACUUUACAAACAACUAAACCACUUAAUUUCAAAAGCUUUCAUCUUAUUCAUGCAUUUAAAUAGAACCUAAAUUGACUCUGUAGCUCAUCAAUGCUGAGACAUCAGGGUGUAAAUUGAUUCCAUCUACAUGGCACUUCUGGUACUUAAAGCAAAUCAAGAACAGGUAGUUCCGAGGGUUGCUCUGCACAGUAUGAGGCACCCAGCCUGGCAAUGGCAAAGUGAACAUUUAACAGCAAGUUUCAGCUAAUCCUGGCUCACUGAUGAGUGAAAAUGCCAAGGAGGGAUGGGAAUCUGUGGCCCUCCAGGCAUUCGUAGAGAGUACAACUCCACUCAUCUUUAACUAUUGACCAUUUUGGAUGGGCCAAUGGGAGUUGGAGCCUAAAAACAUCUAGAGAGCCAAAUGUUUCCUACUCCUCUCUUAGAGAGACUGCUGGCUGAUUGAUGAGGAUAGCGGCUGAUGUUUUCUCAAUAGAAGAGAUCUAGCUACUGCUUUCCCACUAUUCUGCAUUUUGCAGAAUUUUGUAAUUUCCAUAGCCCCAUACAUAUACAGUGGUACCUCAGUUUAAGUACUUAAUUCGUUCCGGAGGUCCAUUCUUAACCCGAAACUGUUCUUAACCUGAAGCACCACUUUAGCUAAUGGGGCCUCCCGCUGCCGCCGCGCCGCCAGAGCACGAUUUCUGUCCUCAUCCUGAAGCAAAGUUCUUAACCUGAAGCACUAUUUCUGGGUUAGCAGAGUCUGUAACCUGAAGCGUAUGUAACCCAAGGUACCACUGUAUAGCACAUGGCAGUGUUCUAAUCUUGAAAUCACCUUGGUACAUUAUGAUUACUAAUUCUGCAAAGAAAGUCACACAGCUGUACUAUCACUCAGAGUGAUGUUUCCCUUUGCAAGGGGCUUCACAAAACCUGAUGAUCAGGUUUCGUAAAUCUCUCUGUCGAGCACUGUACACUAAAUGGAGCCUAAAGUCCAUUUGGGCCGAGUCAGAUUGAAAUAGGUCCAGAAAAUCAACUGCUUCCAACAGAGCUGAAAGAUAGUGUGCCAUAACUCACUCCCAUCUGAAAAUGAAAUAUUUGAGAGUGCCAUCCUGUGAUUUUUCAGCUUAGAAAAUGACCAUGAGGUAAUUUUAUUGUGUUUUAAUAUUUUAACUUUUGUAUGUUUUAAAAUAUGGUUCUGAGUUUUGCUUAAUUUUCCUGUUUUAUCUUUUGUAAACCGGUUUGAGGGUUUUUCUUAAAUCAAGAGGUGUAUAAAUGUUAUGUAAUGUAAGGGGGGGUUAUUUUCCAACACCUGCCUUUUUCAAGGGUUCAGGCACCUGCCAUUCAUUUAAUAAGUGAACCACCCUGAGACCUGUGGGUAUAGGGUGGUAUAUAAUAAUAAUAAUAAUAAUAAUAAUAAUAAUAAUAAUAAUAGAUUUUAACGAACACCCUUGUAACUGGUCAAGUUGGGCAAAAGUCAUAAAUAUAAGUAUUAAAACUUCACAUUUAUUUUCCAUAGAGGUAAGUUUUCAUUUCAUGGGAUAAACAGAAUAUUCUAGAAUGGGUUUUCUGUAGAAGCUGAAUAAAUAAAGAAGCUUACUGGCUUCCAAUUAAUUCAGAAUAUCUUGUGGUUUCUGGUCUAUUUCCUUAUUUGUAACUCAUUGGGAUCAAAAAAGGAUUCCUCCCACCUAUGGUCAUAGAUUUAUCUGUAGAAAACCUUCCAUUUCCUCUUAAGUUAUUGCUAUCAGCUGUAGUAGCAUCCUCCAAGGGUACCUCCCUUUAAUGAGAAAUCUGUGCUUAUGUGAAGCUUACGUAAGCAACAGAUGAGGAUAUUAUUCAUUGUAAGUAUAAACCAGGAUUUGCAUUUGGGGGUUCUUUGACAUUACUAAAAGCUUAAAUAAAAAUGGGUUGGCUGUUAUGCACAGCAGAAGAGGAACUAACAUAAAACUAAGGAUAAUGUUGUCACUUUCAAUGUCUGAUUUUUUUUAAUGCCAGUGAGCUAAUUCUGUUUUUUUGAACCUAUAGUGCCUUUGGCUGUGUAUCUAUUGGCAGACACUAGCCAAUUGACUUUUAGGAGAACUGAGGACUUUGCUUUCUACAUAUACCUUCCAAUCUUGAAAAGCUCUGGCUUGCAUUCUAAGGCUAACCAUUAAGGUGGGAGUAAGCCUCAAUGAACUCACUGGGUCUGACUUCUGUGUAGGCAUGUUGAUAAUUGUGAUUUAAGAGAAUGCAAUAUUCUAGAGAUGAUGAAAAAAAAUAUCAGAGACCAAGGUCUUUCAAACUGUUUGUUAACAAAAACUCAAGAUUCAGGUUCCACACUGAAUAUAGUAAUCUCAGAGAAUUGGCCUACAAGAUCGGGGUUGUCUUCCAUGGGUCACACACAAGUUUGUUGUUGUUGUUUAGUCGUUUAGUCGUGUCCGACUCUUCGUGACCCCAUGGACCAGAGCACACCAGGCACUCCUGUCUUCCACUGUCUCCCACAGUUUGGUCAAACUCAUGCUAGUAGCUUCGAGAACACUGUCCAACAAUCUCGUCCUCUGUUGUCCCCUUCUCCUUUGUGUCCUCCAUCUUUCCCAACAUCAGAGUCCUUUCCAGGGAGUCUUCUCUUCUCAUGAGGUGGCCAAAGUAUUGGAGCCUCAGCUUCACGAUCUGUCCUUCCAGUGAGCACUCAGGGCUGAUUUCCUUAUGAAUGGAUAGGUUUGAUUUUCUUGCAGUCCAUGGGACUCUCAAGAGUCUCCUCCAGCACCAUAAUUCAAAAGCAUCAAUUCUUCGGCGAUCAGCCUUCUUUUUGUUCCAGCUGUCACUUCCAUACAUCACUACUGGGAAAACCAUGGCUUUAACUAUACGGACCUUUGUUGGCAAGGUGAUGUCUCUGCUUUUUAAGAUGCUGUCUAGGUUUGCCAUCGCUUUUCUCCCAAGAAGCAGACGUCUUUUAAUUUCAUGACUGCUGUCACCAUCUGCAGUGAUCAUGGAGCCCAAGAAAGUAAAAUCUCCCACUGCCUCCAUUUCUUCCCCUUCUAUUUGCCAGGGGGUGAUGGGCCCAGUGGCCAUGAUCUUCGUUUUUUUGAUGUUGACCUUCAGACCAUAUUUACACACAAGUUUAAUACCUGAUAAAAUGAAAAGAAAGGAUCCUAGACUAGGACCUUAGAAUCCUAGAUCUAGAAUGUGUAUACCGUACCUAUAAUAGAAUUAUAUGUACAAAAAGAGGUUCAGGCUUAUUCACACAUUACACUGAACAUGAGUGCAGACUUAUUCUAUGCAUGUGCAUAUGUUUGAAUAAAAGAGUGUACACUUGUUGAUUUGUACCACUCAUGUUUUGCAAAUAGGUGCAUGGACUGUACAUCCAUUGAAUGCAAUAUGCUUAUUAUUUGCAAGUGUGCAACCAAAAUUUUGUACACAGGUACACAGAUUGCACAACCGUUGACUAUAAAGUUGAAUGCACACCUCCACUCUGAUAUUUCUGCUGUGGACACCCACAUGCCUGAGUUGGAAAGCAGAAGAAAACCAAAAAAUGAUUGUUUUCACCUUUGCUGAACUGUUUUGGGAUUUGGUUAAUAUUUACUGUUCUUAUUUGCUUUUAAAAUGGCUUUAUUAUUACAAUUUUGUAUUUACUUUAAUGAAGAGCAGGUGAAAACUGCCUUUAAAAAUUAAGGAAAUAAAUAAAGCCAGCUUUCCCAUUGAGCCACUCAUUCGAGCAACUGUGGUAGAACUUCAAGGACUCUUUGGCUGGAAUUGUUCCAAAUAAUUCAUGUGGCCAACCUUGGCAACAUCCUCAAAGUGAAUGGAAUGCCCAGCAUCAAGUGACUGUGUGGCUGUGGCGCCUGUAUCUCUGAGGUCCUCCUGAAAAAAAUUGUUUAUUAUAUCAGACAUAGUUACCAUGUGAUUAAUUUUGGUUUAAUUCAUUUUGUUACCCAUCAAAACAUCCAACCAUAUUUCUUCAGCUGUGGUAUAGAUAAAUAUACAUUAAUUUCACUGCUCUGUUUUCUAUUCCUUGAUCUUAUGCAUGGAUCAUAUAAUUUUAUUCAUUGCCGUAAACAACCCUGUAGGAACAAAGAAUAUUAAAGGACAUAAAAUAAGGUCAUUAACUAUAGAGUAUUACCUUGGCAGGUUACUCAGCUAAUGACCAAAUACGAAGCUGGAAGUUUCAGCAGGGUAUUUUAAUAAAAAUAUUCAGCUAACUGGCUGGCAAAACUAUUUUGCACUGGCAAAUAAAAAAUGAGAAACUUUCCACUUCUGAACCUCAGCAUAAUGCAUUUGUGAACAUGCCACGUAUUGGAACAGAAGGUUUGUGGGUCAUUUCCUACAUAUACUUCCAUGUAACAGCAAAGAAAGUUGGAUUAGAUGAGAUGCAGUUCUCCAAAUCUGUAGGGCUAUGCUCUUCUAAAAGCUCAUGUUUUAUGUCCAAUUCACAGGAAUGGAAAAUGUUGUUUUAUAUUCAUUUUACAUACAAAAGCAUUUGUACCUCACCUUUCAGUCCUCAAAAAGCAGGGUAUGACAUAUGAGGAGAAACCCUAGUCUGUUACCACCCACUGUGUGCAUUCAUUCAAGGUACCGUAUUUUUCGCUCUAUAAGACGCACCAGACCAUAAUAUGCACCUAGUUUUUGGAGAAGGAAAACAAUAAAAAAAAUAUUCUGAAUUUCAGAAGCCAGAACAGCAAGAGGGAUCGCUUCAUAGUGAUCCCUCUUACUGUUCUGGCUUCUGGGAUAGCUGUGCAGCCUGCAUUCGCUCCAUAAGACGCACACACAUUUCCCCUUAAUUUUUAGGAGGGAAAAAGUGAGUCUUAUAGAGCAAAAAAUACGGUAUGUGCUUCCCCUCCUCAAAAGUGAUCCAAAAACUAUUAUCAUUAUUAUUAUUAUUACUAUUAUUAUUAUUAGAAUUUAUAUACCUCCCUAUACACAGGGGUCUACUAGUUACUACAACCAUUACCACAUUUUUUAAAAAAAUCUAAUAUUCAGCAUCAUGACUUUAUACAUCAAUUUUAACUCACUGCUUUCCAUGGUGAUAUGAAAUAAUUCAAAUAUGAGCACAUCGACAGAUGCUACAUUUAUUUCACUUCAGUAGCCAGACCUUUGCAUUCAUCUAGAAUGCUAUUAUUAGAAUGCUUUUCUAGCAGAAUAUCAAUAAAGUAUAUUUUCAGUUGUUGUAAAGGGGUGUUCCUAAGUCCAGAAGCAGCUUCAGAGUCUCCGCCUGAUGUUUGAUUGACCUGUAAAAAAGAAGAAGUAAUAUUACUCUUGUGAGCAGCAGGCUAACCAGCACGUAAGCUGAACUUUCUGAAUGAUCUGCUUUCCUGUUAAAUCAUGUGGAACACAAGAAUGGACUCGGUGAUCCACAAAUGCGAUAACUGGAAUUGAUCUCAUCCUGUGCAACUUUCGGCCAUUCCACAAAAGUUUUGAGUCAUUCAGUUUUAGUGGCUAAGUAGAAUAGUGGCUAGAGCAGGCGUGGCCAAAAUUGUGCCCUCCAGAUGUUUUGGAACCACAUCACUCCAACUAUUUUUUUUUUUAGUUUGUUUGUUUUUUAUUAAAGAUUUUAUUGUUUUACAGAAGUAAGUGUAAUUUCUCUCGUAUUUUUUCCAUGUAACAUUUUUACAAAUCCGUUUCAUUUGUUGAGACACUAGGGGGAGAAAAAAGAAAAGAAAAAAAGGGGGUGGAGGGAGGGAAGAUGGGUGGGGUCGGGUGGCGAUGUUUCUAUUAUGCUUAAUGUAUGUAGGGUUUGGUGUCAGCGUUGCUUGUGCUGUUCACUUGUGUUCCUUUGGUGGUGAGAGAGGUUGGGGUUGGCCUAGGGUGUGGUUGUUUGUUUGUGAUUGGCUGUUGUGAUCUUUGUUUUCGUGUGUGAGUGGGGUGGGUGGGUGUUUUGGAUCAGGUUAGCGAUAAUGAUUUGUAUGCUGUUGGUGGAUUAUUGUCAUUGUCUUGUUGGGCUGUGUAUGUGAUAAAGGGGAGCCAUACCGGGGUGAAGGCGUCUUCUUCUAUUUGUCCCCGUGUCAGUAUCAGUUUAUUGGUUGCUUUUUCUAGUAGGGCUGUUUCCCAUACUAUUUGGUACCAUUGGUCCAUACUUACUCCUGACAGGUCUCUCCAGUGUCUGGUUAUGCUGUUUCUGGCUGCUGAAAGUAGGUGGGUUAUGAGUUCUUUGUGGUGUAAAUGGGCAUUGUUGUCUUGGAAGAAUCACCGCAACUAUUGACCAUGCUGAUUGAGGCUGAGAUGCGUUGGGGAUCAAUAACAUCUUGAGGACCCUGAAUUAGCUACCUGGACAACAGCGUUGGGCAGUGUGGAGAGACCCAAGUUCAAAUUCCUGCUAAGCCAAUCGGCCAAUCACUUUCUCUUUCAGCCUUAGCAAAUUUCCAGGAUUGCUGUGUAAGAUUCACAUCCAUCUGGAAUGUGGACCCUGAAAGGUUGCCUGAGAGCGUAUGUGGCCCUCAGGUUAGAAAACUUCCCUCACUUUUGAUCUAGCAUUUACCACUUUGCUUCCUGGGGGAGGCUCACAUUCUGUACCAACUAUCGUGGAUUUCCAAGAAUGUAUUGUGAGCAGGUGCUCGUGAUCUCCCUUGCCAAUAUUGUCCAAUCAGAAUAACAAAUCUCUUGUCUUCCCUACCAGUCAGUUGCUUCUAUUGUGAACAUUUUGUUUUCCACAGUUUCUGGGCCCUCAUUCUGUCCUACGGUGCUACUAGCAAAGGGCUUGGUUCUCUCGCAAGGAGAAUUUAUUGUCACAAUAAAAAUAAAGCCCCUUUCUCCACCAACACUCGCAGCUCAGAAGACAGAGUGAAUAAGCUUUGGGAAUUUACAGUAGAAUACCACUGGGUCAUUGUACCAAACUGAAAAGUUGGCUCAGCAGACAGCUGUAGACGGUAAUAAAGAAAAGGUUGCCUAAGGGAGAGAACAGAGCAGUUUGAUUUGUUAGAGGAGAAAUGUACAUUAUUCUGGAGUGUGACAGCCCAGACAUUAGGCUGGGUUUGUAUUUUGACCAGCCAGAGACUUUGUCAGGGCAGCUAUUUUCAUGCUCUUGUAAAUUAUUAGCGCAAACAGAGUGCUCAAGAAAAUGCAAGUUUACUUAUCACUUUGGGGAGUGUGCCAUUUGGUGCAAGACGGGUCAUUUUGUUUUUUAAUAGCAUCGUUUGGAAACAACUGGCUUUCCCCCCCCUUUGUGAUUGGUCAACAGUCGAGAAAGACAUUUCAUGUAACAAGGGUAAGAGAAAUAUGGACACAAGCAAAAUAUGUUUGCCGUGUCCAGUGGGUUGUUGCUGUCCAUAUGACUGUUGUAGCUCAGAGCCUCUGAAGGCUAGGACACUGAUUCUGUUCCACGUGAAGAUGACACAUCGGGCCUGAGGAUUGACUGAGCUGCCUACCCCCUGCUACUUCAUAAUGAACCAGAAGGCUGGGGAAAACAAGGUUAUUUUUUAAAUUCUGUGAGUUGAAGGCAAUUUCAGACUUUAAAUACAUUUCUUUGGGGGAAAGUAUAUCAAAUUCAAUUGGCUUGCAAUUCGUAGCAUUCUCUGCAGUUGGGUUUGGGUGACUGGAUGGAUCGAUGGAUGAGGGUCUGUAAUGGCUACUGCAGAUGCGGGUGAAGGGAGUACCAAUAAAAUAAUCUGAGAAGCAAGACUGCUCAUGCUUCCUACCUCUUGACAUUUCAGGAAGUGGGAAUCAUAAAACUGAGUAGAGAUAGAAAGACAGAUAUAAAGAUAUAGUAGUUCCAUGUUACAAUUAUAUAUUCAUUUUAUUACAUGAAUAUCCUGGGACUCAAGGCAGUGCACAUGGUUCUCUUCCCUCAAACACCAUCCAUGUGAGGUAGGUUAGACUGAGAGAUGGUGGCUGGCCCAAGGUCAUCCAGUGGACUUCAUGGCUGAGUAGGGAAUUGAAUUAGUAUCCUAAGGCAGUACUCCACACUUGCAUGCUACAUUAUACAUUCUUAAAAUUAUGUAUUACUUGGCUUCCUAAAAAGGCAUUUAAUGAGAUGUACAAUUAAGAAACAGAAAAGUUCCAUACAAGUAUAUGACAGCUUAAAUAAUGGCAGUAAAGGUAAAGGGACCCCUGACCAUUAGGGCCAGUCGCGGACAACUUUGUUUUUUUUUUUUUAAAUAAUUUUUAUUAAAGUUUUAAACAAAGAGAAAAGAAAAAACAACACACACAAAAAAACAAUACAAAAUUUAACAAUAAAAACACACAACAUAACAAUUUAAAACAAACUCUCUUUUACAUUCCCAAUUUUGAAUUACUUAUUUUCUGGACUUCCUCAUACCUCCCUCUUUUGUAUUCCAAUCUACAUUAUUUGUCCAGCAAUUUCUUUUCCACUUUUUUAAACCCAAUCUUUAAUUUAAUAAAAUAUUAAACUAUAUAACAUAAACAUAAUCCUUGUUCUUAAUGUCAUAUACCUUUAAAUUUUUCCCAAUCUUAAUCUUUAAUCUUAAUCUAUCCUAGCUUUAACCUGUACAGCUGGAAACCACUUAUUUUCAAUCCAACAUCACUCUAACAUUCCUUAAUUUUGCAGUAUUUCUGAAGAUAGUCUUUGAAUUUCUUCCAAUCUUCCUCCAUCGACUCUUCUCCCUGGUCACGGAUUCUGCCAGUCAUUUCCGCCAAUUCCAUAUAGUCCAUAAGUUUCAUCUGCCAUUCCUCCAGCGUGGGAAGUUCUUGUGUCUUCCAAUACUUUGCGAUGAGUAUUCUUGCUGCUGUUGUUGCAUACAUAAAGAAAGUUCUAUCAUUUUUUAACACCAUUUGGCCCACUAUGCCCAGGAGAAAGGCCUCUGGUUUCUUGGGAAAGGUAUACUUAAAUACCUUUUUAAAUUCAUUAUAUAUCAUUUCCCAGAAAACCUUAAUCUUUGGGCACGUCCACCAAAGGUGAAAAAAUGUACCUUCAGUUUCUUUACAUUUCCAACAUUUGUUAUCGGGCAAGUGAUAAAUUUUCGCAAGCUUGACUGGGGUUAUGUACCACCUGUAUAUCAUUUUCAUAAUAUUCUCUCUUAAGGCAUUACAUGCCGUAAAUUUCAUACCAGUGGUCCAUAACUGUUCCCAGUCAGCAAACAUAAUGUUAUGUCCUACGUCCUGUGCCCAUUUAAUCAUAGCCGAUUUUACCGUUUCAUCUUGAGUAUUCCAUUUCAGCAGCAAGUUAUACAUUCUUGACAGAUUCUUAGUAUUGGGUUCUAACAAUUCUGUUUCUAAUUUCAAUUUUUCCACCUGGAAGCCAAUUUUCCUGUCUAAUUUAAACAGUCGCGGACAACUUUGGGGUUGCAGCGCUCAUCUUGCUUUAUUGGCCAAGGGAGCCGGCAUACAGCUUCCAGGUCAUGUGGCCAGCAUGACUAAGCCACUUCUGGUGAACCAGAGCAGCACACGAAAACGCCAUUUACCUUCCCGCUGGAGCGAGACCAAUUUAUCUACUUGCACUUUGACGUGCUUUCGAACUGCUAGGUUGGCAGGAGCAGGGACUGAGCAACGGGAGCUCACCCCAUCGCAGGGAUUCAAACCGCCAACCUUCUGAUCGGCAGGCCCUAGGCUCUGUGGUUUAACCCACAGCGCCACCUGUGUCCCUUAAAUAAUGGCAGUAGCAAUCUACCAAAAAAAUAAAAAAAAUGAAGGAGGCAAUUUAAAACUUUAACUUUUUAAAUUAAAAAAAGUCUGAGAGAACAUAUAAAAUUUAAUUCCAUAUCUGAAGUCCUACAUGGAAGUUGCCUGGCAAGCAUUGCUGGGUUGCUUGAUCCAGCUGCUAUGGGCCCCACAAAGCUGAACAUCACACAAAAAGGAAACCUGAAGCAAGGCCUAGUAAUUCAAUAGGAGAGUUAUAAUAUUGCUCCUGCAUUAAUGGUAGUGUGGUGAAAAGUAUUGGGGUAAGUACUGUAGGUAGAUGCUGCAUAAAGUCAGAUGGAGAAACAGGAAUCGUCUGGUUGAGGUAUACUGUAGAUCAGGGUAGAGAACUUUUUUGGCCUAACAGGCCAGAUCCGUAUUGGUUGCCAGACCCAUGGACCAGGUCUGACGGGUAAGAGGGACAACCCACCUGUCAUUCAUGGAACUUAAUUAUGACAUCAUUCAGCUGAUGAGCGGUGACUUCAACCCUGCUUUCCGGAGGGUUUAGCUGUAUGAUUCAGUUCCCCACAGGGAACUUAGCUGCAUAACUGACACAGUCAUGUCUCAACCCCCCCCACCACCCCUACCUGAGGACAUCACACACAAGUUGCUUACAGAAGUUUCAUAGGUCAUCCAUUGAAAUAUAUAAGCUUGCUAAUAUAUACAAAUAAUUUAAUUUAUCACGCACAACCUGCUAAACAGAAAGGUAAAGGUUUCCUAAUUUCAUUUCUAGGCUCUUGAACACAAUUCAGAGAAUUGAGUCGAUGGGAAAAACUGCAGCUCAGUAUCAUGGUAGCAGGCAUCACUAUUAAGUGGGGGGAGGGUUGCAUAGUGGGAGGCAUCUGUGAGGUGAAAUAAGUUUACGAGAGAAAUAAAAGAAUAGGAUUAUGAGAAGAACAAAAGGUCUGGGGAAAGGGAUGGUGUGAGCACUAUUAGAAAAGGAAAUGAAAAACACAAAGAGGGAGAGGGGGAGAGGUGUAGAGUGAGAUCAAACAGCUCAGAUCUUCCCAAGAAGCAUCGGGUGUUUGAAGUCCACAAAGAUAACACACCUUGUCCAAUCCUCUUCAAAGAUCAGAUUUCAGGGAGCGAAAGGAAGAGGAGAAGAAAGAAAAGGAGGGAAAGGGAUGGGCUAUGGUGGUAUUGCCUCAGAAAUGAAAAAAGGAAAUCACAGAGACGGAGAAAUAUUUUGUCCUGACAAAGUGAAGUAACUGUGAAGAGUAUAGAAAAGUCAAACAGUCACCCUUCAUGGGAUUCUGAGAUUUAGGGGCAGGGAGGUGGUUUGUUUUGAUGAAAGCAGAAGGCUCCAUACAUCAAGUUAAUCAUGAGCAGAAAAUGUAAGGAGGGCACAUCAGAAAAGCAGUGCCCAUUUAUUCUCCCAUUUUCUUUUCGAACAGCACAGCCAAAUCUGUGCCAGAUCUGUUUUAGAGGCUGCUUUUCAAUGGAUGCUACCUUUCAGGAAUUAGUUAAAUGUGCCUGUGUGUUUAACAUGACCCUGAUGGUUUCUUUUUCUCAUUUUUCAGAGAAAAGGUCCUCCGGGAUGGACUGAUUUAUAACACAGACACGGUGGGUGUACGAAUGACUGAACCUUUGCUGAG